CGUUCUCAAUUGUCCCCGCCCUCUCGACAUUUCGUCAUUUCUUUUCUGUUUUCCUCUCCCUCCUCCUCCACUCUGCUCAGGUCCCUCUCACUCUUUUUUUUUUUUAACCGCUACGCCACAGUCCCCGGGAGAAUUCAGAUCCCAACCGGGGCUUCCGGAUUCUGUAGUGGCUUUGGCCUGUGUCUGGUCUGAGGACGCCCGGAAGGCAUUGCACUGAGGCUAAGGGAAAGGUCUCUGGAGGGAGCCUCAGGAAGAGCAAAUGGAGGCCAGAGACUGGCAGGAGCGCGCCAGCGCAGGAUUUAAUCCCGACGAGCGGAUUCAGAGCCGUGCUUAUAUAAAGCUUCAGGAAGCGCCGUUCCGACGAUGAGGUCGACACGCGAGAGGCGACCUCAAGAGCGGCGGCGCCAGGGAUCUGUGCGCCAAGGGAGGACGGGAGGGAGCAGGUUCGCCAUAAUUCCUGGCUCCAGGCUCUGUUUUGUUGGACCGAGCCACUGUAUUUUAGCUCACACAGGAGAAUUCUGGCCCUGGGAAAAUUGGUCUCAGCAUGCUGCCAAGCUUUCUCAUGGACGUCAGCGAAUCCCAACACACUGUCGGUCAAAGCCGUGCUGGAAGAAACAAAACAGUUCUCCCUCGGUAGAACUGAGAGGGGAUUGGUCCAGGGCCCCCGCCGAUACCAAAAUCCAGGUUGCUCAAGUCUCUCAUAGAAAGUGGCGUAGUAUUUGCACAUAACUAUGCACAUCCUCCCGUGUACUUUAAAUAGUCUCUAAAUUACUUCGUAACACCUAAUCCAGUGUAAAUGCUAUGUAAGUAAUUGUUAUACUGUUUUUAUUUUUACUAUCUUUUGUUGUACUUUUUUUUAAAAAAGAAAUUCAUUUGUUUAAUAUUUUCGGUCUUGGGGAACCCGCGUAUAUGGAGGGCCUGCUACAUAGAGAAGACUGAGGGAUAUUCUGUGCAUCCGUUUCUACGGAUCCUCUAAAUCGGCCUUUGUUUUCAGCCAGGAUUUAGUGCCCAGCUGUGUCCUUUGGAGGCCCCACAUGGAGCUAGCAAAGUUUGCUAAAUCGGGUUUUGCAAGAGGACUGUCUGCUCCAUACUGGGAGUAGUUACCGCAAACUGCCCUAUGAAAUUGGUUGGGGUUCUUACUGUUAGCAUGUUUAAUCUCUCCCUUGGAUCCACCUUCUGUGUGCUCAUAAAUCGUAAAUCUGUAUUCAGACUUCUGGACUCGAGACACGUAGAUCCACCUGGUGGUUCUUCAGUCAUUUUAAGCCCAAAACUCAAAAUCUCCCGAAAUCAAAAUGUUUAAACUUAUAAUCUCCAGGGUGUGACUCACGGGGGAUGAGGGGAGCAAUUCUCUCCCUCCCCGCAUAAAGCUGGUUCUCCUGUCUGCUCAUUGAACGGUUCCACUGCGCAUCACAGCAUCUACAUGCCUAAACCAACACCCCAGCAUUGGCAACAGAUAUCUUCCUCUCCCUUGGCUGCUUCAGGACAGGGAAGAAACAUGCUUGCCCUUUUCUGACUCUUUAGUAACUCUGGCCGAAUCUAUCACAUUAUUUUACAUCUCUUUACAUCUUACUACUCCCCCAUCUUGGCUGUGUGUUCCCUACUGGCAGUGAUUUUUGUUUAUUCAUUUUUGUAAACUGACACUUAGUUCAGUGUCCAAUAUAAGCUCAACAAUAGUUUAUAAAAGGAAAAGUUCCUGCCUUUGAUUGCUUUUAAACACUAUUAGAAAAGACAUAACCAAAUUGCAACAUGAUAAAACAAACAGCUAAAAUCCCUUACCUGUUUAAUAGCAGAUCCUCCUCGCAAAUCUCAAAUUUUUAACUCAGUUGUCAUAAAUCUUCUUCAGCACUAGAAGCAAAUCUAACCUCGGAGAUGAGAAGUGGUCACCACACCCAAAUAGACAUUGUCACAAGACUCGAAUCUUCCAUCUAUUCUAAGGGCCCAUUUAUCUUUUCAAAAGUCAUUUGGUUUUCCAUAUGUCCUUUACUCCUCCUCCUUUUCCCCUGCUGCUAGGUAGAUCCCAAAUUCUAACCACUCCUUUGAGUUACUCAUCACAGAGUGCUCCCAUGUAUACACUUUUUUUUUUUUUGUUUGACUCAGGGUCUUACUCUGUCACCCAGGCUGGAGUGCAGUGGUGCAAUCUCAGUUUAAACCCCCAAGUCUGUGGUAUUUUGUUAUAGUCCCCCUAGAAAUUAAUACAGGAUUCAUGGUCUGCCAAAGUCUCAUUCCCUGCUCAGACCGACAAUGGAUAGUGGGAUCCUUUGUGAUAUGUGCUCUGUGAGUUAGAAGUAGUAACUUAGAGCUGUUGAGGACAAUACCUUUGCACCCCAUCCACUGAAUUUUGUUUUCAAAGAUACAGUCUGAAACUCCCAGAGGGUGAGUGCCUUUCCAGUGUGUCAGAGCCAUUAGUGGCUGAGCAGACCGCUGAGCAUGUAGAUUUCUAGGUCAGGGCCCUCUCCCCAAAGAAUCAUACUCCCUGGUUGAACUGAACCUAAAUCAGGUUUAAAACUAGACAGAUGCCAACCAACUUAAAAUUCCAAAGAUAUCCAAGACCUGCCCAUGGCCCUGGGAUUUGAGGACAACGUGUGCAUGUCAUGGCUAUGGCAGUUCAGGGGUCUCUAGCUUAGUGGGAAUGUCUAUGUCCUACCUUGACCCUUCUGAGUCUUCCGCCCGCAUCUGCCCCUCCUAUGACAAUGGAGUAUUCAUUCCCCAGAUACAGCACCGUGAAAGAGAGGCAGGAACACUGGAUAGUCUAAGACCUGGUCUUUCUUGGCUGGUGUGAGACAG
Molecule: long non-coding RNA, 2784 nt
Filed under: Homo sapiens (human)
Lineage: Eukaryota; Metazoa; Chordata; Mammalia; Primates; Hominidae
Description: HSALNT0295636
Source: RNAcentral